This 691-nucleotide ribosomal RNA is filed under the name uncultured bacterium. RNAcentral describes it as "bacterial SSU rRNA". It matches the Rfam family "Bacterial small subunit ribosomal RNA", at positions 32 to 715 of the family's 1533-position model. The record is from RNAcentral.
AACGCUAGCUACAGGCUUAACACAUGCAAGUCGAGGGGCAGCAUUGGAGUAGCAAUACUUCAGAUGGCGACCGGCGCACGGGUGAGUAACACGUAUCCAACCUGCCGCUUACUCGGGGAUAGCCUUUCGAAAGAAAGAUUAAUACCCGAUGGUAUAAAGAGUUCGCAUGUUCUCUUUAUUAAAGAAUUUCGGUAAGCGAUGGGGAUGCGUUCCAUUAGAUAGUUGGCGGGGUAACGGCCCACCAAGUCUACGAUGGAUAGGGGUUCUGAGAGGAAGGUCCCCCACAUUGGAACUGAGACACGGUCCAAACUCCUACGGGAGGCAGCAGUGAGGAAUAUUGGUCAAUGGGCGCGAGCCUGAACCAGCCAAGUAGCGUGAAGGAUGAAGGUCCUACGGAUUGUAAACUUCUUUUAUAAGGGAAUAAAGUCACUUACGUGUAGGUGUUUGUAUGUACCUUAUGAAUAAGCAUCGGCUAACUCCGUGCCAGCAGCCGCGGUAAUACGGAGGAUGCGAGCGUUAUCCGGAUUUAUUGGGUUUAAAGGGAGCGUAGACGGGUCGUUAAGUCAGCUGUGAAAGUUUGAGGCUCAACCUUAAAAUUGCAGUUGAUACUGGCGUCCUUGAGUACGGUUGAGGCAGGCGGAAUUCGUGGUGUAGCGGUGAAAUGCUUAGAUAUCACGAAGAACUCCGAUUG